This 140-nucleotide small RNA is filed under the name Planktothrix serta PCC 8927. RNAcentral's name for it is "HEARO". It matches the Rfam family "HNH endonuclease-associated RNA and ORF (HEARO) RNA", at positions 1 to 132 of the family's 211-position model. Lineage: Bacteria; Bacillati; Cyanobacteriota; Cyanophyceae; Oscillatoriales; Microcoleaceae. The record is from RNAcentral.
GUCAACAACCCACCACUGACUUGAGUACAAGUACAGUGGGGGCUUGAAAUACAGCCCUAGUUGACCCGCCUAAGUCUUAACUGACUCCGUUAUUUAGGUCAAGACACCGGGCGGAUGCGUAGCUAGUCCCCUGCUCUGUC